CGGAGUGUCGAAUACGGUCGCUGAGCUUUGCUAGAUUUCGUUCGUGGUGUAUGUCAUCCCGUCGAUGCUAUGCGCCCGGACCGGAAAACCUCGGUUCCUAUAACCGGAAGUAGGCGCUGCGGAGGCAGCACCACCGUACGGAAAGUGUUUACGCUGCUCACGUAACGUAAAAAUAUGACAGAAAAUAGGUAUGAGCGGUGAUCAGGAGAUGGCGCGUGAAUCAAAUACAUUCAUAAGGCGGCUGACAGCACUUCUAACACCGUGCUGACAGUCAACUUGCUUCGGCAAGUUCUACGUCACGACUCAUUUCGGCCAUUACACGAGCACUGACCCUGACAAUCUCCAGUGCACGCUCCAGUCGAAGCUCAAGCUGGCUCAAUGAACGUGAUGCCUCCACCCCGCCCCGACUACUCGAUACAUUCUGGUACACGUGGUAAAUUCUUUUCGAAUACUUUGUCGUCGACUGUUUACUAUCAACAUGAAAUUGAAGCAAAAAUUAUAUUUUUCAUCCUAUCCACAGUGCAUAUGACAUAAUGUAGGACAGCACGCAGUCAUGCAGUCAACC
Long non-coding RNA from Dermacentor silvarum, 565 nucleotides. RefSeq lists it as uncharacterized. NCBI's taxonomy places the organism in Eukaryota, Metazoa, Arthropoda, Arachnida, Ixodida, Ixodidae. The record is from RefSeq and is a predicted model, not a curated record. The transcript is spliced from 3 exons.